GUUUGUCGCGUCUGCUGUGAAAUCCCGAGGCUCAACCUCGGGCUUGCAGUGGGUACGGGCAGACUAGAGUGCGGUAGGGGAGAUUGGAAUUCCUGGUGUAGCGGUGGAAUGCGCAGAUAUCAGGAGGAACACCGAUGGCGAAGGCAGAUCUCUGGGCCGUAACUGACGCUGAGGAGCGAAAGGGUGGGGAGCAAACAGGCUUAGAUACCCUGGUAGUCCACCCCGUAAACGUUGGGAACUAGUUGUGGGGUCCUUUCCACGGAUUCCGUGACGCAGCUAACGCAUUAAGUUCCCCGCCUGGGGAGUACGGCCGCAAGGCUAAAACUCAAAGGAAUUGACGGGGACCCGCACAAGCGGCGGAGCAUGCGGAUUAAUUCGAUGCAACGCGAAGAACCUUACCAAGGCUUGACAUACACGAGAACGGGCCAGAAAUGGUCAACUCUUUGGACACUCGUGAACAGGUGGUGCAUGGUUGUCGUCAGCUCGUGUCGUGAGAUGUUGGGUUAAGUCCCGCAACGAGCGCAACCCUCGUUCUAUGUUGCCAGCACGUAAUGGUGGGAACUCAUGGGAUACUGCCGGGGUCAACUCGGAGGAAGGUGGGGAUGACGUCAAAUCAUCAUGCCCCUUAUGUCUUGGGCUUCACGCAUGCUACAAUGGCCGGUACAAUGGGCUGCAAUACCGUGAGGUGGAGCGAAUCCCAAAAAGCCGGUCCCAGUUCGGAUUGAGGUCUGCAACUCGACCUCAUGAAGUCGGAGUCGCUAGUAAUCGCAGAUCAGCAACGCUGCGGUGAAUACGUUCCCGGGUCUUGUACACACCGCCCGUCAAGUCAUGAAAGUCGGUAACACCUGAAGCCGGUGGCCUAAC
This 864-nucleotide ribosomal RNA is filed under the name Microbacterium sp. JC157. RNAcentral's name for it is "bacterial SSU rRNA". It matches the Rfam family "Bacterial small subunit ribosomal RNA", at positions 578 to 1439 of the family's 1533-position model. Lineage: Bacteria; Bacillati; Actinomycetota; Actinomycetes; Micrococcales; Microbacteriaceae. The record is from RNAcentral.